RNAcentral lists this unclassified non-coding RNA (238 nucleotides) under Basidiomycota sp. RNAcentral's name for it is "partial contains small subunit ribosomal RNA, internal transcribed spacer 1, and 5.8S ribosomal RNA". The stretch from base 1 to 47 matches the Rfam family "Eukaryotic small subunit ribosomal RNA", at positions 1785 to 1831 of the family's 1831-position model. The record is from RNAcentral. Lineage: Eukaryota; Fungi; Basidiomycota.
AAAGUCGUAACAAGGUUUCCGUAGGUGAACCUGCGGAAGGAUCAUUACAGAAUGCACAUCUCUCUACCUUCUUGUAGUAAGGUGGGACCUGUCAGCACGCUACCAACGUCGGUUAUCCGGCAGUGCGCACCUUUGGUCUUCGCCCUGCUACGCCGUUCUAUUUUACAAAUCUGUCGCAUGUUGGUGGCAUCCCAUACAAAUAUAUAUAUAACUUUCAACAACGGAUCUCUUGGCUCUC